AAAGGUCAAUGUACUCGUC
This 19-nucleotide microRNA is filed under the name Ananas comosus (pineapple). RNAcentral describes it as "microRNA s0514_c67a". The record is from RNAcentral. Lineage: Eukaryota; Viridiplantae; Streptophyta; Magnoliopsida; Poales; Bromeliaceae.